GCGCACCAGGCGCGAAAACUUUACAAUGUGCGAAAGCACGAUAAGGGAACUCUGAGUGCCUCCUAAGGAGGCUGUUCAGGUGUCUAAAAAGCACCUGAAGGAAGGGCUGGGUAAGACCGGUGCCAGCCGCCGCGGUAACACCGGCAGCCCAAGUGGUAGCCACGGUUUAUUGGGUCUAAAGCGUCCGUAGCCGGCUGGGUAAGUUCCUUGGGAAAUUUGGCUGCUUAACAGUCAAGCUUUCAGGGAAUACUGCCCGGCUUGGGACCGGGAGAGGUCAGAGGUACUCC
RNAcentral lists this ribosomal RNA (287 nucleotides) under uncultured microorganism. RNAcentral describes it as "partial 16S ribosomal RNA". It matches the Rfam family "Archaeal small subunit ribosomal RNA", at positions 330 to 621 of the family's 1478-position model. The record is from RNAcentral.